UACGGAGGGUGCGAGCGUUGUCCGGAUUUAUUGGGCUUAAAGGGUGCGUAGGUGGUUUCUUAAGUCUGGUUUGAAAGUCGGCGGCUUAACCGUUGGAUGUGGCUGGAAACUGGGGGACUUGAAUGGGCUGGAGGUCACUGGAACGGGUCAUGUAGCGGUGAAAUGCAUAGAUAUGACCCAGAACACCAAUUGCGAAGGCAGGUGACUGCGGUCUGAUUGACACUGAGGCACGAGAGCAUGGGGAGCGAACAGG
RNAcentral lists this ribosomal RNA (253 nucleotides) under uncultured bacterium. RNAcentral's name for it is "partial 16S ribosomal RNA". It matches the Rfam family "Bacterial small subunit ribosomal RNA", at positions 524 to 776 of the family's 1533-position model. The record is from RNAcentral.